RNAcentral lists this unclassified non-coding RNA (556 nucleotides) under Hevea brasiliensis (rubber tree). Lineage: Eukaryota; Viridiplantae; Streptophyta; Magnoliopsida; Malpighiales; Euphorbiaceae. The record is from RNAcentral.
UGGAACUUAGCUUUCUCGGGGUAUAUUGAUAAUAUCAAGUAAAAAUGCUGGAAUAUCCUAUAAGAAACAAAUGGAAUUACUUAACCUAAAAGAAUCAACCAGAAGAGGACAAGAAAAUCAGAACAGGAACAUUUUUUCCACUAUCGGCAUUAACAGAUAAGACAAAUCUGUCAAGUUAACAAACAAAUGGUGCACAAGCCUUUCCCUUGAUGCAAGGAAAAAGGCCUAAGAUUAAAUUGGUGGAUAGCUAGUUUAUGGGAUUUGGAGUUUUGGACUCACCUAAUAGAACCUAAACCUUUCCAAACAAUGACAUCUGCUGGCUCCACUCAACAAUGAGUAAGAUAUGACACAUUAAAAUGAAACUUUAGAGAAAAUACUGCAACAGUCCAGGACAUAAAAAAUUAAAAGAAACAAGUUACCAUUUCUGAGAGGGAAAAAAAAAGGAGCUUAAGUAAAAAAUUCUGAAACUCCUAAAUGCAUGUUUAGUCCAAACAAAAUAUAACAGUUCAAUCAAAUAAAUAAAGCUUCCCAUCAAUUGAUUUAAAUCCUCUUUUUU